CGCUGCGAAAAGCCACGGGGAGCCGCGAGCAGGCGUUGAUCCGUGGAUAUCCGAAUGGGGCAACCCACCCCUUUGGGGUAUCACGACAUGAAUCCAUAGUGUCGUGAGGCAAACCCGGGGAACUGAAACAUCUCAGUACCCGGAGGAAAAGACAUCAACAGAGAUUCCGCUAGUAGUGGCGAGCGAACGCGGAACAGGCCAGUGGCCUGUUGGGGAUAAGCAGAACGGUCUGGAAAGUCCGGCCAUAGCGGGUGAUAGCCCCGUAUGCGUAAAGACCAGCAGGUCCUUGAGUAAGGCGGGACACGUGUAAUCCUGUCUGAACAUGGGGGGACCACCCUCCAAGCCUAAAUACUCCCUGGUGACCGAUAGUGAACAAGUACCGUGAGGGAAAGGUGAAAAGCACCCCGAUGAGGGGAGUGAAAUAGACCUGAAACCGGAUGCCUACAAGCAGUCGGAGCCUCUUAUGGGGUGACGGCGUACCUUUUGUAUAAUGGGUCAGCGAGUUUCUGUUCGCGGCAAGCUUAAGCCGAUAGGUGUAGGCGCA
Molecule: ribosomal RNA, 544 nt
Filed under: uncultured bacterium
Lineage: Bacteria
Description: bacterial LSU rRNA
Rfam family: Bacterial large subunit ribosomal RNA
Source: RNAcentral